This 192-nucleotide ribosomal RNA is filed under the name uncultured bacterium. RNAcentral describes it as "partial 16S ribosomal RNA". It matches the Rfam family "Bacterial small subunit ribosomal RNA", at positions 1308 to 1500 of the family's 1533-position model. The record is from RNAcentral.
CAACUCGCCUGCAUGAAGCUGGAAUUGCUAGUAAUCGCGGAUCAGCAAGCCGCGGUGAAUACGUUCCCGGGCCUUGUACACACCGCCCGUCACACCAUGAGAGUCGGGAACACCCGAAGUCCGUAGUCUAACCGCAAGGGGGCGCGGCCGAAGGUGGGUCCGGUAAUUGGGGUGAAGUCGUAACAAGGUAGC